Molecule: long non-coding RNA, 627 nt
Filed under: Nicotiana tabacum (common tobacco)
Lineage: Eukaryota; Viridiplantae; Streptophyta; Magnoliopsida; Solanales; Solanaceae
Description: long non-coding RNA (NTAB_LNC001177)
Source: RNAcentral
ACUCAUAAACAAUGAAAAAUAUUUAGUUCAUGCGCAAAAUAGUGCUUCAAACUACAGCCAAAUUUUACAUGUCAGAAAGAAAAGACAACACUUACGGAGGUUCUCUAAUAGAAUCAUCUGAUUUUUGCCCAGAAUUUUUCUGCGAGAAACAGUGAAUUGGCCGGAUUGAACUUUACAAUGGGAAAAAAGGCAAUAGAGAAAGGCAACAAAUUUGGGGGAUAUUUGUUCAAAAAAGGGGGCAAAUAUGAAAUUAAAGGUAGAUUACCAGUCCUAAGUAGAGGUUGAAGAGAUCAAGGAUGGCAGGUCGAGAAGGAUGAAAGUGAUGGUGGUGGCUUCUGAAAACUGAGGAAGAAGAAGACCUCAACUGGGGCGGCGGCGGCGGCGGCGGCGGCUGCUCCAUUUCUGGUGUGGCUUGAUUUGAAUGACUGGUUGGAGUCGGAGCUCGCAGCAUCCUUUUCUUCCGUGCAUACACACAGUUGAAAUUCGAGUGGAGGGUUUUCUUCUUGACUCUUGGAUUUUGCUUUAACUUAACUAUUUACAAUACUAGCAUGACUCUUGGCAGGUUCGGUUCGGUUAUUCGGUUUUGGGUUCGUAAAAGUAGUAAUCGAAACCAAACUGAAAUAAGUU